GGGGGAUUAGCUCAAUUGGAUAGAGUACCGGCCUUCGAAUCCGUUGGUUAUGAGUUCGAGUCUCAUAUCCCCUACCA
RNAcentral lists this transfer RNA (77 nucleotides) under Clostridiales bacterium. RNAcentral's name for it is "tRNA-Arg". It matches the Rfam family "tRNA". From Rfam's summary of the family: Transfer RNA (tRNA) molecules are approximately 80 nucleotides in length. Their secondary structure includes four short double-helical elements and three loops (D, anti-codon, and T loops). The record is from RNAcentral. Lineage: Bacteria; Bacillati; Bacillota; Clostridia; Eubacteriales.